RNAcentral lists this long non-coding RNA (610 nucleotides) under Mytilus galloprovincialis (Mediterranean mussel). The record is from RNAcentral. Lineage: Eukaryota; Metazoa; Mollusca; Bivalvia; Mytilida; Mytilidae.
GGAUCCCAACCCUCCCCCUAACCUGGGACAGGGGUAUAACAGUACAACAUAAGAACGAACUAUAAAAAUCAAUUGAAAAAGGCUUUUAACUCAUCAGAUGGACAAAAAAUACAAGUGGACUUAGACUUUUCUAACUCUUGAAUCCCUUAGCUAUAUUUGGCAAAACUUUUAGGAAUUUUUUGUUCUCAAUCAUUUUCAACUUUGUUCUUUAUUUGAUCUUUUUUUUUUAAAUGUAUUUAAGCAUCACCGAUGAGUUUUUUGUAGACAAAACAUGUAUCUGGUGCAAAUACAAAAUAUCAAUCCUGGUAUCUGAUUAGUUCAUUUUUGCUGUAAUUAACUUUAUAUGAUAUGCAAGCGGGGGCAUCAUCUUUGUCCCAUUGUCACAUUCCCCUUUUAUAUAUUUUGAUUGAAGAUGAUCUUCUGCCCUCAUUUCAGAUAUGAUUGUCCUAUUUUUUUAAUUUAAUCUUUUAAACUGUUUAGCUGAUAUUGAUUUAACUCUACCAUAAUUAUCCUUAGCAAAAACAUGGCCUCUUUUACAAAAACAGGCCUCUUAUGCAAAAAUAUAACACCAAUAGAGUUGGAAAGAUUUCAGAUUAUACAUUGUAAUUGA